GGGAAUAUUGGACAAUGGGCGCAAGCCUCAUCCAGCCAUGCCGCGUCAGUGAUGAAGGCCCUAGGGUUGUACAGCUCUUUCAACGGUGAAGAUAAUGACGGUAACCGUAGAAGAAGCCCCGGCUACCUUCGUGCCAGCAGCCGCGGUAAUACGAAGGGGGCUAGCGUUGUUCGGAUUUACUGGGCGUACAGCGCACGUAGGCGGAUUGUUAAGUUAGGGGUGAAAUCCCAGGGCUCAACCCUGGAACUGCCUUUAAUACUGGCAAUCUCG
Molecule: ribosomal RNA, 270 nt
Filed under: uncultured Mesorhizobium sp.
Lineage: Bacteria; Pseudomonadati; Pseudomonadota; Alphaproteobacteria; Hyphomicrobiales; Phyllobacteriaceae
Description: partial 16S ribosomal RNA
Rfam family: Bacterial small subunit ribosomal RNA
Source: RNAcentral